GGCGGCUUAAUUUACUGCCUAUAAACACCCAUCCGAUCCACCACCGUAAGUAAGAAACCCUAGUUUAAUUUGAGUAUUUGGCUUCAUCUCUGUCUCGAUCAUUAACCGAGGAUUUGUGUUGAUCUGCCUGUGUGGCUCGAUUCAUGAAUUUAAACUACCAAUUUGAAGUAAUCCGAUGGGGAGGAAGAGCGCCUCUGCAGUUGAAUCAUAUAAUAAGGAGGGGUUUGCGAUGGAUGAUGAUGUGGCGUUUAAUGAUGUUGCUGGAGAAGAAGGGGAUAAUGUCUUUGCAGAGGAGGGAGAGGAUGAUGCUCCUGCAAUUAAAUUUGAUGGGAAAAAAAAAGAGUGGAUAUAACAGUGGUUUUGUUGCUUCAGCUUUUGGGUUGCUAGGAGAAGAUGAUGUUGAUGUUGAAAGUAAGGAUAAAGAUGAUGAGGAUUCUGCAUUUGGAUUGCUUGAUGCGCGGCCGGCGAUAAUGAUGAAGAUGAUGUUGGUAUUAGUUUUACUGGUUAAAAAGAAGAAGUCGUCAAAGGGGUCGAAGAAGACAUCAUUCGGUUCCACAUUGCUCGAAGAAGAAAGCAAUGCACCAUCUGAUAUUGUUGAAUGUGGUGGUGAUUGUAAGGAUAUUGUUGAAGAAGAAAGCAAUGCACCAUCAUUCGGCUUCUUACUGGGAAGCCUGCGCGGAGGCCUCUUUACCAGAAGAAAAAAUCCAAGCUCCAAAAACACUCUAAUGGGGAUAACACAGAUGCAAAAGAGAUCCAAGAAGAUGUUGUGUUGGAGUUGGCUUCUGUUGUAGCAGAGAAUGUUGAGGUAACUGAUGUUGUCGAUGACAAUGGAGGAGGAGGAGGAAAAAGUGUAUUUGCUGAUGAAGAAGUUGAUUCAGAAUCUGAGCCCUUGCCUAAGAAGGAUAUACCGAUGAGAAAGUGAUGCUACCAAAAUUGGAGAAUGCGGAUGUUCAAAACAACUCAGUGGCAGAGAAGAAGAAAACAGAAGUUGUUGAUGAUCAGCCUGUUCGAAAUGGACAAAACCUUCGGUCUCCUAUAUGUUGCAUUAUGGGCCAUGUCGAUGCUGGAAAGACGAAGUUGCUUGAUUGUAUUUGAGGUACACACGUCCAAGAAGGCGAGGCGGCGGGUGGGUUAUCUUGGGAGUUGAUGUUGUUGAAGGCAUUGUUAAGAUUGGAACACCUAUAUGUAGGGCAGGUAAACCGAACCGACAACACGGUUAACCGAGCAUAAAAGUAACCGAGAUUGAAACACCAGAAUCGAAACCGAAUUGGCCUGGUUUGGUUCGGUUCCGGUUAACCGAACCAGAACCGAAUUUUAAAAAAAAUUAUGCAGUUCAUAGCCUAUUUCUCACUGUGCCCCAACAGCACCCUCCGCUUCUCCUCCGUAUCAAGCUCGUACAGCACCGAUUUCGUCUCCGGCACGUAGCCCUGCUCCAUCUCCUCCGACACCUUCACCACCAAAGCAUGGACCAGCUCGAUUUGAGGAUUCACCUCGUCCACACACCUAAUCGAGUACACCCUUUUCUUCGCUUCAAUCCAGCAGCAUCCCGGUACCUUCUGCAGCCCCUUCUCUUCCAACACCUUCUUCACUCUCUUCACCUCGUCCCACAUCUUCGCCUCCGCGUAUAUCUCAGCAAGAAGCGCGUAGUUCCCUGCAUUCGUGGGCUCGAGCUCAACAGCAUCCUGCUCGCCCUCUCUGCAAGCUCCACGUUGCAAUGAAUCAUGCACGAUCCGAGGAGAGCGCCCCACACCAUCGCCCCUGGCUCAUCUCGCAUAUCGGCUAUGAUCCGAGCCGCUUCCUUUAGUCUAUUAGCUCUGCCAAGAAGAUCCACAAUGCAAGCCCGUGAACUGCAUAGCUUGAAAUCAUGGAAUUCCAAGAAACAACAUCCCUCUUAUCCAUCUGCAAUUAAAUGAGUAAUUCGGUUCCGAACCGAUAACCGAGUAGACGCCUUUAUUUUGUCGGUAAUCGGUUAACCAAGAAAUGUGAUAUUCAGUUCGGUCAUCGGUUAGUCGGUUAACCUCUAAAAGAGGAUUUCUCGAAAUUGGUCGGGUAGCAUCUAUUAAAAGUAAUGAUAAUCCUGUUGAUUAUGCCAGGAAAGGGCAAAAGGUGGCCAUUAAGGUAUGAGAUAUUGAAAUUGUAGUGUCAUUUUGUGGUGCUCUUGUAGUGUGUUAAGAAUGGUGUUUGCAGAUAAUUGGCAGCAACCAGAAAAUGUUAGGGAGACAUUUUGAGGAGGAACACUUGCUUAAAAGCAAGAUCUCAAGACAUUCACAUGAUGUACUUAAAGCUUACUACAAGGUUUGUACAUCUGAUAUUACUCCUUACUAGAUUUUUGUUAAGAGCGCUGCUCCUAACGUUGAUUAACACGCGAUCAAGGAACACGGCCGGGAAUUAUCUGGCGCCCAGGAGGUCUGGGUCGUCGGCGAUUUCCGGCGAGAGGCUCGUCGUCAGCGGUAGGGUUUGCGUUUCUUGUUGCUCAAGCCUUGGGCCGAAAGAAUAUGAUAUAUUGAUUAAUGAAUAUUCGAAAACAUGGCCCUAUUUAUACUAAGACCCUAGGGUUGAUUCGACCUAACCUAGACGUCCGGGAAAGAAUCAACGAAGAAAACCCGAACGGGGCUUAUAGCACGCCCGACGCGAUUACAAUAAUUCAAUUAAUAAAGCUUAACUAACUAGCUAUGAAAAAGGAAACAAACUAAAAUAAGAAAUAACAAAACAGAAUAAGAACUAACAAAACAGAGCAUCUUCUACUUAAUUACGUCGCUACUUGGCGACGUAAUUCGCCAGCUUCUGCGGGGGUUUAAUUCGAUCCCUUGGCCUCAACGAUCUUGUCUCCACAUUCCCCUCGGUCCUCUUCUGCUGCAUUCGCUUCCUGGUCUUCGUGGCUAUCGCCGGUACUUCUACAGCUGGUUCCUCGUCUUGCAUUCUCGAGUGAUCCGUAUCAAUUUUUUACGACGCCCCAUCAACACUGAUUUCCUCACUCCUUUCCACUGACGUGCAGGAUGAACUGUCUACUGAAGAUGUGAGAUUACUUAAGGUUUUGAAGAAAGAGUUCGAGAUACCAUGAUUUUAAUCUAAUGGAGUUCGAUAUUACACAAUUGCGCAUUCUAUUGUUGAAAUGAGUUUCCAUUGAUUUCACCACACCAUUGUUCUCUUCAAGUAUACAUUUUGCAUGGAUUGGAAUUCAAUCAUAAUGAGUUUACUACACAGGGUAAUAUGAGAGUGGUUAGAUCUUCAAAAGGAAUUUUUCAAAAAAUUUGUUGCUAGUCACG
Molecule: long non-coding RNA, 3266 nt
Organism: Salvia splendens (bonfire salvia)
Lineage: Eukaryota; Viridiplantae; Streptophyta; Magnoliopsida; Lamiales; Lamiaceae
Exons: 3
Source: RefSeq, a predicted model, not a curated record